This 224-nucleotide non-coding RNA is filed under the name uncultured Dysgonomonas sp. Lineage: Bacteria; Pseudomonadati; Bacteroidota; Bacteroidia; Bacteroidales; Dysgonomonadaceae. The record is from RNAcentral.
UGGUGUCACUACGAUUAUCAUCGGAUGUGAUGAAAAGGGAAUCAGGUGCAAAUCCUGAACAGACCCGCUGCUGUAAGCUCCGCCAAAAGUCUUUGAACAAUACUCAAAACCACUGUUUUGACAAGCUGUUAGCCAUUAGCUGAUAGUUGUUAGCAGAAAAAGCUAACUAGAAAUGGGAAGGGCGUUCAAAGAUGGAGUAAGUCAGAAGACCUGCCAAUAGACUU